UGACACUGUUGUAGGAUGUGAGCCGUCG
This 28-nucleotide small RNA is filed under the name Bombyx mori (domestic silkworm). Its description in RNAcentral is "piRNA piR-bmo-1439063". The record is from RNAcentral. Lineage: Eukaryota; Metazoa; Arthropoda; Insecta; Lepidoptera; Bombycidae.